RNAcentral lists this ribosomal RNA (195 nucleotides) under uncultured bacterium. RNAcentral describes it as "partial 16S ribosomal RNA". It matches the Rfam family "Bacterial small subunit ribosomal RNA", at positions 1308 to 1500 of the family's 1533-position model. The record is from RNAcentral.
CAACUCGCCUGCAUGAAGUCGGAAUUGCUAGUAAUCGUAGGUCAGCAUACUACGGUGAAUACGUUCCCGGGCCCUUGUACACACCGCCCGUCAAACCAUGAGAGUUGGCAACACCCGAAGUCGGUAGUCUAACCCGCAAGGAGGACGCCGCCGAAGGUGGGGUUGAUGAUUAGGGUUAAGUCGUAACAAGGUACC